Molecule: unclassified non-coding RNA, 348 nt
Filed under: soil metagenome
Description: partial contains 5.8S ribosomal RNA, internal transcribed spacer 2, and large subunit ribosomal RNA
Rfam family: 5.8S ribosomal RNA (bases 1-120)
Source: RNAcentral
GAUGAAGAACGUAGCAAAAUGCGAUAAGUAAUGUGAAUUGCAGAAUUCAGUGAAUCAUCGAAUCUUUGAACGCACAUUGCGCCCGCUGGUAUUCCGGCGGGCAUGCCUGUUCGAGCGUCAUUUCAACCCUCAAGCCCCCGGGUUUGGUGUUGGGGAUCGGCUCUGCCCUUCUGGGCGGUGCCGCCCCCGAAAUACAUUGGCGGUCUCGCUGCAGCCUCCAUUGCGUAGUAGCUAACACCUCGCUACUGGAACGCGGCGCGGCCAUGCCGUAAAACCCCAACUUCUGAAUGUUGACCUCGGAUCAGGUAGGAAUACCCGCUGAACUUAAGCAUAUCAAUAAGCGGAGGA